This 351-nucleotide ribosomal RNA is filed under the name uncultured bacterium. RNAcentral's name for it is "bacterial SSU rRNA". It matches the Rfam family "Bacterial small subunit ribosomal RNA", at positions 8 to 350 of the family's 1533-position model. The record is from RNAcentral.
AGAGUUUGAUCCUGGCUCAGGAUGAACGCUAGCUACAGGCUUAACACAUGCAAGUCGAGGGGAAACGACAUCGAAGGCUUGCUUUUGAUGGGCGUCGACCGGCGCACGGGUGAGUAACGCGUAUCCAACCUGCCCACCACUUGGGGAUAACCUUGCGAAAGUAAGACUAAUACCCAAUGACGUCUCUAGAAGACAUCUGAAGGAGAUUAAAGAUUUAUCGGUGAUGGAUGGGGAUGCGUCUGGUUAGCUUGUUGGCGGGGUAACGGCCACAAGGCGACGAUCAGUAGGGGUUCUGAGAGGAAGGUCCCCCANAUUGGAACUGAGACACGGUCCAAACUCCUACGGGAGGCA